This 31-nucleotide non-coding RNA is filed under the name Mus musculus (house mouse). The record is from RNAcentral. Lineage: Eukaryota; Metazoa; Chordata; Mammalia; Rodentia; Muridae.
UGAGUGAGUAUCUUUUGGCUCAUCUACACAA